RNAcentral lists this ribosomal RNA (546 nucleotides) under Pseudomonas aeruginosa. RNAcentral's name for it is "bacterial SSU rRNA". It matches the Rfam family "Bacterial small subunit ribosomal RNA", at positions 145 to 687 of the family's 1533-position model. Lineage: Bacteria; Pseudomonadati; Pseudomonadota; Gammaproteobacteria; Pseudomonadales; Pseudomonadaceae. The record is from RNAcentral.
UACGUCCGGAACGGGCGCUAAUACCGCAUACGUCCUGAGGGAGAAAGUGGGGGAUCUUCGGACCUCACGCUAUCAGAUGAGCCUAGGUCGGAUUAGCUAGUUGGUGGGGUAAAGGCCUACCAAGGCGACGAUCCGUAACUGGUCUGAGAGGAUGAUCAGUCACACUGGAACUGAGACACGGUCCAGACUCCUACGGGAGGCAGCAGUGGGGAAUAUUGGACAAUGGGCGAAAGCCUGAUCCAGCCAUGCCGCGUGUGUGAAGAAGGUCUUCGGAUUGUAAAGCACUUUAAGUUGGGAGGAAGGGCAGUAAGUUAAUACCUUGCUGUUUUGACGUUACCAACAGAAUAAGCACCGGCUAACUUCGUGCCAGCAGCCGCGGUAAUACGAAGGGUGCAAGCGUUAAUCGGAAUUACUGGGCGUAAAGCGCGCGUAGGUGGUUCAGCAAGUUGGAUGUGAAAUCCCCGGGCUCAACCUGGGAACUGCAUCCAAAACUACUGAGCUAGAGUACGGUAGAGGGUGGUGGAAUUUCCUGUGUAGCGGUGAAAU